Molecule: unclassified non-coding RNA, 199 nt
Organism: Dipodomys ordii (Ord's kangaroo rat)
Lineage: Eukaryota; Metazoa; Chordata; Mammalia; Rodentia; Heteromyidae
Product: predicted gene, 27545
Source: Ensembl
UGGAGAAAGAAGGAAGGGGUUUGUAAAUCUCCACAGCUUCAGAAUCCUUCUCCCCCAGGGCAGUAUUCCCCAAUUAUACUUCUCAGUCAUCAACACCUCUUUCUUGUCUGGGCUCAUCAACCUUCCAGCCCAGUUAGCACAUCCGUCACUGCAGAAAGCUGGACCCCACACCAAGUCUAUCAUCUUAGAAUGCGGAAAG